RNAcentral lists this ribosomal RNA (497 nucleotides) under uncultured bacterium. RNAcentral's name for it is "partial 16S ribosomal RNA". It matches the Rfam family "Bacterial small subunit ribosomal RNA", at positions 28 to 507 of the family's 1533-position model. The record is from RNAcentral.
GAUGAACGCUGGCGGCGUGCCUAAUACAUGCAAGUCGAGCGAACGGACGAGAAGCUUGCUUCUCUGAUGUUAGCGGCGGACGGGUGAGUAACACGUGGAUAACCUACCUAUAAGACUGGGAUAACUUCGGGAAACCGGAGCUAAUACCGGAUAAUAUCUUGAACCGCAUGGUUCAAAAGUGAAAGACGGUCUUGCUGUCACUUAUAGAGGGAUCCGCGUUUCUUUAGCAAGUUGGUAAGGUAACGGCUUACCAAGGGAACUAUGCAUAGCCGACCUGGAGGGGUGAUCGGCCACACUGGAACUGGACCACGGUCCAGACUCCUACGGGGGGCAGCAGUAGGGAAUCUUCCGCAAUGGGCAAAAGCCUAACGGAGCAACGCCGCGUGAGUGAUGAAGGUCUUCGGAUCGUAAAACUCUGUUAUUAGGGAAGAACAUAUGUGUAAGUAACUGUGCACAUCUUGACGGUACCUAAUCAGAAAGCCACGGCUAACUACGUG